Molecule: long non-coding RNA, 437 nt
Filed under: Capsicum annuum
Lineage: Eukaryota; Viridiplantae; Streptophyta; Magnoliopsida; Solanales; Solanaceae
Description: long non-coding RNA (CANN_LNC009753)
Source: RNAcentral
UCAUCAUCAUCAUUAUCUUCUUCUGCUAAGUAGUAGUAUAUCACCACCACUUUACUAGUACUAGUAAAGGAUUAGAUAGAUAACCAUUUAUUGCAAAACUUACAUUUUCCAUUUAAGGCCAGGAAAUAUUUUUGACUGUUAUUGCUACUCUACUGAUCUGCUGCACACAACAGCCAAAGCUAUCAGUUUAGUUCUCUCUUGGUUUUGUUAAAACAAUAUUUAACUUGGAUUGAGGAAAGAAGCAGAUCUUUUAGGAAAAGAGACAAGUAUAUAUCUAAAGGUUCUGUAUACUUUUAGUAACUGUCAUUCAUAACAAUCAAAAAUUAGUUCUGAAAUUGCAUAAAAUAGAUAAUCGACCUUCACGCAUCCCCAGGUUCCCAAAAUAGAAUGGAACAUAGUGCUAGUAAGGAUGGCACAGUAAACUGCCAGAAAUCUCC